GUCCAGCUCCCAAACCACAUGCUAAUGGUACGUGAUCAGUGCAGGUGAGACACGUGUCUCUGCUUCCUGAAGAAAACUUGUAAAGACAACGAGGACAGAGACAGAAGACAACAGAGAGAAGAGAGGAUGUGUGAGUCUCCUAUUACUUGACAGAGAAAGAUCUCUACCAAGAACUUGUCAGAUUGGCUGGCUUUUUCUGAUUGCAUGGAAGUCACGCCUACCCACGGCGGCGUGAUGGCGACAUACACGAAAAGUAUUUUCCUGGACAAAGCAGACGAGCAGCUCUGAGUCCAGGUGAACAACAUUAUUCCUUAACUCUGGGUCACUCAUCAUAGACAUCCGACUGUAAACACAGCCAGCACUCAAUCUGAAGCCUCCUGCUCUGAUCUGCUCACUGACUCUGCACAUGGCGAUCUGUUCAGCCCAGGAUGGACAGAUACCAGGAACAGCUGCAGACAGACUCCAGGCGAUGAAUCCACAUCAGCAGCAGAAGGAAGAGGAUGGAAAAGAUGACUGAUUACGACUCAUGUCUCUGCUCCUCAACGAUUUCAGUUCUAAAUUUCACUUUUCAGGGGGAAAAAAUGGAAGGAUAAUAAGAGACAAUAAAAAAUGGAUGUAACUUCAACCUAAGUCCUUCAUAAAAGCUCUGCAUUCACGCACUCAGCAUGGGAACAUUUGUUGUUAUCAUGACGCACAGGCCGGGCAUUCACACCAUUUGGCCGAACAGAUGAGGCCCCAGCUUCCCUCAGAUUAAUUGGUGUCACUUUGGUGGUUACAAGUCUCGUCGUCAUCGUAAUGUUGAACAAUGUUAUUGCCUCAUUUUGUGCAGGAUUAGAAGUGAGUCUGGUUAUGUGCAUGUUUAUGGCUCAAUGUUUUAUGUUUUGCUCUAUGAUGCACAGAUUGGUGAAGCUUGUGGGAAACUAUGAUGUGCAUUAUUUGUUUCGAUUAUUGCCUAUUAUAUUGUACUAUUAUAAGAUGUUGUUGUUUUCAUUAGCAUCUUUGAAUCGAACAGACUUGAAAUCUACCAAUGUUUACCCAGAUCAAACUAGUAUUCCUGAGCUUGGCCUGGGUUCGGCCCGGGUUCUAACUGUUUUUCUAAAACAACAAAAAAUGUUGUUAUUGAAUGUAUUUGUAAAUCCAAUGACCACCGUGACCGACUGCUGCACUAUUGUCUCCCUUCGUCUUUUAUUCCACUUUGAACAUGGCUAAGUGACAUUCCACAGUUAAUAUUGAAAUAUUCAAGUAAACUAACAAUCUAAUUAUGGUUUCUGUGGGAAUAUAAUUAAAACACAAUAUUUGGUUCAUUUUUGGAUUAAGAAAAAUCGGUUGGCAGGAAGCAACCUGCCCCACAAUAUCAAUUUCACACAUGUCAACAAUACAUUGUUUUCCAUACACUCAGUGACACAUAUUUUAACUCUGUUUAAUAGAAUUCAACAUGAGACAACAAACACCACAACCUCAAAUAUGUCCAUAAUAUCAAUUCCUCACUGACACUGUGUCAACAAUAACUAAACAUUGUGAAGUCAUACAAACACGCGGUAAGUGAUUUCAGUACUGUUGUAUUGGUUUACACUAACUUCCUCGGGUGCAGUUUAUAUACUGAUAACUGAAAGUGUCGUUUCAGUUCAUUGCAGACAUUUGCAAUAACACUAAAAUAUGAGGUAGCGUGCAUAAAACUCACUGAAUGUU
Molecule: long non-coding RNA, 1689 nt
Organism: Hippoglossus stenolepis (Pacific halibut)
Lineage: Eukaryota; Metazoa; Chordata; Actinopteri; Pleuronectiformes; Pleuronectidae
Exons: 5
Source: RefSeq, a predicted model, not a curated record